GAGGUUUGUUUAGCUUAUAGUUUUGGAGGCUGAAAAUCUAAGAUUGGGUAGCCCUACCCAUUUGUCCUCUGUUGAGGCCUCCCUUGGCUGCAUCUACAUGGCAGAGAAGCAGAAAGGAAACUGGCCAUGUACUGAAGUGUCCACGCAUGAGGGAUAGAUAGCCUUGUUUUAUAACAAUCCAGUUUUGUGAAAACAAGCACCUUAAGACCAGUAUUUUUUCCCAUUUUUUAUUGGUGCAUUAUAGUUAUACAUAUAGAUGGGAUUCAUUGUUACAUAUUUGUACCUGUGCACAGUAAACAAUAUAGUAAUAUAAUUUGGGCAUUAUCACUCCCAGCACUCUCUCCCUCCUUCCCCACUUCCUGCCCCUUCAGCACCUGUAUUAAUUCCUUCCAAGGGCAGCACUCCUCAUAACCUAAUGGCUUUACCUAUUAAAAGUUCUACCAUCUCUCAGUGUUACCAUAUCGAGGCCUUUUAAUCUUCUUUUUUAAAAAAUUUAUUUUUAGUUGUAGAUAGACACAAUACCUUUAUUUUCUUUCUUUCUUUUUUUAUGUGGUGCUGAGAAUCAAACCCAGUGCUUCACACACAUACGAGUCUUUGGAGAUACUCUCAAACCACAGCAUGUCUAUGAUCGUGACUAUUGAACAUGGCUAAGAUCAUGCCAACAUGAUCAUGAACAUGUUAGCUAACUUCAGC
RNAcentral lists this long non-coding RNA (693 nucleotides) under Marmota monax (woodchuck). The record is from RNAcentral. Lineage: Eukaryota; Metazoa; Chordata; Mammalia; Rodentia; Sciuridae.